This 955-nucleotide long non-coding RNA is filed under the name Eucalyptus grandis. RNAcentral's name for it is "long non-coding RNA (EGRA_LNC004519)". The record is from RNAcentral. Lineage: Eukaryota; Viridiplantae; Streptophyta; Magnoliopsida; Myrtales; Myrtaceae.
GACGCUUUGCUUACAUACAUACAUAUAGCAAGAUGGGGUUUUUCCUCGGGUCGGUACAAAAGAAACAGAAAAGGUAAGGACUCUGCCAUGUCCUUCCUAAAAUCUCAAAAAGAAACUCCGACCUCUAACAUCGUAUGAGCACAAAAACCCUCCCAUCACGAGCGUCAACUAUCUACACCAAAAAGUGAUCUAGCUCCUACUCCUCGCGCGCGAUCUCACACCCAUCCCGGUGCGUCAGGUGGUGGCGGCGGCAGCAUCCCCCGCAUCACUCCAUCCCGUCGUAUGUGCACAGACAAAAACUCUUGUAUGACCGGGCCCCCAGCCAGGCCGAUGUCAUACAUGACUACGCAUCGUACUCAGAUAAAAGUCAACCCGGGUACCGAGGGACAGUCUAUCUCAGUCAUCUCCACCUCGACGUCAGACGGAAUACCGUAAAACACGCCACGCGAAACAGCAGGCAGCGGCAUAGUGCUAAUCUGAAAUGUUAUCCCCAAAAGGGGUGAGUACAACCACUUAGCAGAUAGGGAAAUCCAAUAACAACUCAGUGCACCAUGCAUACCAUCUUACAAUGCAGGUAUUUCUUACCUUUUCAACGUCAAGCGUAUUCAUGCAUCAUCAUGGCAUACGUAUCAUCAUGGCAUCUCACAUAUCAUUAUCACAUCAUCAUAAACCAUGCAUCACCAUGUAUAUCACAUCAUAUCAUCAUUGGCCAUGCAUCACCAUGCAUAUCACAUCAUAUCAUCAUUGGCCAUGCAUCACCAUGCAUAUCAGAUCAUCAUUAACCAUGCAUCACCAUGCAUAUCACAUCAUCAUUAACCAUGCAUCACCAUGCAUAUCACAUCAUAUCAUCAUUGGCCAUGCAUCACCAUGCAUAUUACAUUAUCAUUAACCAUGCAUCACCAUGCAUAUCACAUCAUAUCAUCAUUGGCCAUGCAUCACCAUGCAUAUCACAUCA